UACGAAGGGGGCGAGCGUUGUUCGGAAUUACUGGGCGUAAAGGGCUCGUAGGUGGCCAACUAAGUCAGACGUGAAAUCCCUCAGCUUAACUGGGGAACUGCGUCUGAUACUGGAUGGCUUGAGUUUGGGAGAGGGAUGCGGAAUUCCAGGUGUAGCGGUGAAAUGCGUAGAUAUCUGGAGGAACACCGGUGGCGAAGGCGGCAUCCUGGACCAACACUGACACUGAGGAGCGAAAGCCAGGGGAGCAAACGGG
Molecule: ribosomal RNA, 253 nt
Filed under: uncultured bacterium
Lineage: Bacteria
Description: partial 16S ribosomal RNA
Rfam family: Bacterial small subunit ribosomal RNA
Source: RNAcentral